Molecule: long non-coding RNA, 3039 nt
Filed under: Sorghum bicolor (sorghum)
Lineage: Eukaryota; Viridiplantae; Streptophyta; Magnoliopsida; Poales; Poaceae
Description: long non-coding RNA (SBIC_LNC012755)
Source: RNAcentral
GCUUCCGAACAACAUGAUACGAAACCCAGCAAUUUUUUUUAUUUUUUUUUUUGAUAUUUUUAUUUUAGUUAGGAGCACCGUAGGAGUAACCACAGAGAAUUUGAGCUUAAACAAGUUUAAGACAUGGCCUGCGGAAUUUUUUGAAGAUUGUGAAAAAUGUGAAAAAAAACUUCACGAGGUGAAAACUCAAACUUUGGAGGUGAAUUUUGAGGUUCAAAAAUUUUCAAACCCGCCAAUGGAGGGGACAGACAGAUCCAAAAAAAAAUUUUGGAUCGAUUUGAUAUAUGGAACGUUGAAAUCAAAGUUCGUAUGCGAAAGUUAUGGCUAUUUUACGAACGGACUACGAAUUAGAGGACAAAACAGUCUGAAAGUGGGAAAAAUUUGCGGUGGUGGCUAAAAAUUGAUGGAAACGGUAGGGAAAAUACACACGAACUGGACUCUAAUAAGAUCUAACCAGCAACAAGACCUCAACAAGAACACAAACUCAACACUGCGGACUCUGAAACUAAAAUAUGCAAAGGCUAUGGCGCGAAAGGGUUGUAGGACACGAAAACGAAAAAGCACUGGACUUAUGGUACGAACACAAGAACACUCGAAACUAAGGGUUGAUGUGAACCUAACGAUAUACCUAAUGCUUUUAUUACCACUUGAUGAGAACAAGGGUGACCUGAUCUUCAAAAAGGUUCUGGUAUCUCUCUAUUUGGUGCAGACGAGACACAAAUCGAUCCGGCUUCCGAACAACAUGAUACGAAACCUUGCAAUUUUUUUUAUUUUUUUAAUAUUUUGCUUUUAGUUAGGAGCACCGUAGGAGUAACCACAGAAAAUUUGAGCUUAAACAAGUGAAAGACAUGGCCUACGGAAUUUUUUGAAGAUUGUGAAAAAUGUGAAAAAAACAUCAUGAGGUGAAAACUCAAACUUUGGAGAUGAAUUUUCAGGUUCUAAAAUUUUCAAACCCGCCAAUGGAGGGGACAGACAGAUCCAAAAAGAAUUUUGUAUCAAUUUUCAUAUAUGGAACGUUGAAAUCGGAGUUCAUAUGUGAAAGUUAUGGCUAUUUUACGAACGGACUACGAAUUAGAGGACAAAACAGUCCGAAAGUGGGAAAAAUUUGCGGCGGUGGCUAGAAAUUGAUGGAAACGGUGGUGAAAAACACACGAACUGGACUCUAACAAAGACCUCGACUAGGACACAAACUCAACACUGCGGACUCUGAAACUGAAAUAUGCAAAGGCUAUGGCGCGGAAGGGUUGUAGGACAGGAAAAUGAUAUGGUACUGGACUUAUGGGACGAACACAAGAACACUCCAAACUAAGGGUAGAUGUGAACCUAAUGUUAUACCUAAAGCUCUGAUUACCACUUGAUGAGAACAAGGGUGGCCCGAUCUUCUGAAAGGUUCUACUAACUCUCGAUUUGGUGGAGACGAGACACAAAUCGAUCCGGCUUCCGAACAACAUGAUCCGAAACCCUACAUUUUUUUUAUUUUUUUGAUGUUUUUCUUUUAGUUAGGAGCACCAAAGAAGUAACCACAUAAAAUUUGAGCUUAAACAAGUGAAAGACAUGGCCUGUGGAAUUAUCUGAAGAUUGUGAAAAAUGUGAAAAAACUUCACGAGGCGAAAACUCAAACUUUGGAGGUGAAUUUGCAGGUUCUAAAAUUUUCAAACCCACCAAAAGCUAGGACACACAGAUCCAAAAUUUUUUUCUGAUCGAUUUUGAUAUAUGGAACGUUAAAAUCGGAGUUCGUAUGUGAAAGUUAUGACUAUUUUACGAACGGACUCCGAAUUAGAGGAAAAAACGGUCUGAAAGUGGGAAAAAUUUGCGGUGGUGGCUAGAAAUUGAUGGAAACGGUGGGGAAAAGCACACGAACUGGACUCUAAUAAGACCUAACCAGUAACAAGACCUCAACAAGAACACAAACUCAACACUGCAGACUCUGAAACUGAAAUAUGCAAAGGCCAUGGCGCGAAAGGGUUAGGACACGAAAACGAAAUAGCACUGGACUUAUGGUACGAACAGAAUAACACUCAAAACUAAGGGUAGAUGUGAACCUAACGGUAUACCUAAUGCUUAUAUUACCACUUGAUGAGAAGAAGCGUGACCUGAUCUUCCAAAAGGUUCUGGUAUCUAUCGAUUUGGUGCAGACGAGACACAAAUCGAUCCGGCUUCCGAACAACAUGAUACGAAACCCUGCAAUUUUUUUUAUUUUUUUUGAUAUUUUUAUUUUAGUUAGGAGGACCGUAGGAGUAACCACAGAGAAUUUGAGCUUAAACAAGUUUAAGACAUGGCCUGCGGAAUUUUUUGAAGAUUGUGAAAAAUGUGAAAAAAAACUUCACGAGGUGAAAACUCAAACUUUGGAGGUGAAUUUUGAGGUUCAAAAAUUUUCAAACCCGCCAAUGGAGGGGACAGACAAAUCCAAAAAAAAUUUUUGGAUCGAUUUGAUAUAUGGAACGUUGAAAUCAAAGUUCGUAUGCGAAAGUUAUGGCUAUUUUACGAACGGACUACGAAUUAGAGGACAAAACAGUCUGAAAGUGGGAAAAAUUUGCGGUGGUGGCUAAAAAUUGAUGGAAACGGUAGGGAAAAUACACACGAACUGGACUCUAAUAAGACCUAACCAGCAACAAGACCUCAACAAGAACACAAACUCAACACUGCGGACUCUGAAACUAAAAUAUGCAAAGGCUAUGGCGCGAAAGGGUUGUAGGACACGAAAACGAAAAAGCACUGGACUUAUGGUACGAACACAAGAACACUCGAAACUAAGGGUUGAUGUGAACCUAACGAUAUACCUAAUGCUUUUAUUACCACUUGAUGAGAACAAGGGUGACCUGAUCUUCAAAAAGGUUCUGGUAUCUCUCUAUUUGGUGCAGACGAGACACAAAUCGAUCCGACUUCCGAACAACAUGAUACGAAACCUUGCAAUUUUUUUAUUUUUUUAAUAUUUUGCUUUUAGUUAGGAGCACCGUAGGAGUAACCACAGAAAAUUUGAGCUUAAACAAGUGAAAGACAUGGCCUACGGAAUUUUUUGAAGAUUGUGAAAAAUGUGAA